Molecule: long non-coding RNA, 502 nt
Organism: Dermacentor silvarum
Lineage: Eukaryota; Metazoa; Arthropoda; Arachnida; Ixodida; Ixodidae
Exons: 3
Source: RefSeq, a predicted model, not a curated record
AAAAAGAAGAGCACACCACUAGGUUAAAAACAGACGGGAGGUUUUGCAGAGCUCUCACUAUAAAAGCGCUCUCUGUCAGCACGAAAAUUCGUCAGUUGCUCCUGUGAACAUCUGUUACUUCAUUCCACCAUGAUCCGCUUCUGCAUCCUCCUGGCCCUGGCCACCUGUGCAUUUGCCGUCUACUCCGGCUAUCCCACCGGCUACUCUCUCGGCGCUCCUGCCUCCUACGGAGCUUACAACGCCCCACUUGGUUCACUGUCCACGUAUGGAUAUGGCCUUGGCCAUGGUGCGCCAGCGUAUGGCUACGGAUUGGGAAGCUAUGGCUUGAGUUACGGAAGCGGCCUUGGUGGUAGUGGCUAUUCCACCCUACUGCACCACAAAUAAAUCCAUCCAAGAAAGGCUGGUCACUGUGGCUUCAACUUGUAAAGCAAUGAACACUUUGGAAUAAAAAUUGUUUUAAGUAGGCGAUUCGUCACUGCUUGAUUUUUCUCCCGUCUAUUUU